RNAcentral lists this ribosomal RNA (516 nucleotides) under uncultured microorganism. Its description in RNAcentral is "bacterial SSU rRNA". It matches the Rfam family "Bacterial small subunit ribosomal RNA", at positions 250 to 783 of the family's 1533-position model. The record is from RNAcentral.
UGGUGAGGUAACGGCUCACCAAGGCGACGAUGCGUAGCCGACCUGAGAGGGUGAUCGGCCACAUUGGAACUGAGACACGGUCCAGACUCCUACGGGAGGCAGCAGUGGGGAAUAUUGCACAAUGGGCGAAAGCCUGAUGCAGCAACGCCGCGUGAGUGAUGAAGGCCUUCGGGUCGUAAAGCUCUUUGAUCAGGGAUGAUAAUGACAGUACCUGAAAAACAAGCCACGGCUAACUACGUGCCAGCAGCCGCGGUAAUACGUAGGUGGCGAGCGUUGUCCGGAAUUACUGGGCGUAAAGGAUGCGUAGGUGGAUAUUUAAGUGGGAUGUGAAAUCCCCGGGCUCAACCCGGGAACUGCAUUCCAAACUGGGUAUCUAGAGUGCAGGAGAGGAAAGCGGAAUUCCUAGUGUAGCGGUGAAAUGCGUAGAUAUUAGGAGGAACACCAGUGGCGAAGGCGGCUUUCUGGACUGUAACUGACACUGAGGCAUGAAAGCGUGGGUAGCAAACAGGAUUAGAU